Molecule: long non-coding RNA, 4324 nt
Filed under: Marmota monax (woodchuck)
Lineage: Eukaryota; Metazoa; Chordata; Mammalia; Rodentia; Sciuridae
Source: RNAcentral
AGUGGGCGCAAUGGGCCAGGGCCGUCCCCCAAUCCGGCUGGGCUGAGUCAUGUGGGCAGGCAGGUGGAAAAUCCCAGCUGGGGACAGGCACCGCGUCUUCUGGGUCCUCAUACAGCUCACCCCCUGGUCUCCUGCUCCCCCCAGCUCUCCAGAGAUGGCAGAACCUCAAGGAGGAGCCAGCUGUGUGAGCCACUGGGGCCAAGAGAGAGGACACCACAGCGGUACAAAGGGCCACUUUACUGUCCUGUGCAGCAGGGACGUGGCUCUGGCACUCAAGAGCAAGGACAAUGGCAAGUGUCUUCACAGCCUCGUGAGGAGCUGGAAGCAGGCAACUCAGCCAGAGAUGACCCAGGUGGCUGCCUCCUGGGACCGGCGGACACCAGGCCAGUCCACGUGGCUCUCGCCAGUGCGCCCCAGCUUGUGCUAAUGCAGACACUGGGCACUCGUGAGUGAAGGAGUGUGCGGGCGUCCACUCCGGUAGGUGCAGGGCCCGCCCCAGCCCCUGCCCACCCAGAUUAUUAGGGAGCAGACUCCGAUCUGGGAUUGCUCCUCCUGCAGAGCUGCACCUCUCUCCAAACAACACACAGUGCUGCUGUCACGCUCAGCAGGACGAGGACUCCGGGCGGCUUCCUGGCACCUCGGUGUGCAUGGCCCAGUGCUCCCUGUCUCAACUGGCUUGAGGUCUCCUUGCUUCACUUCUCUCCUUCCCCCACGUGUGUGUUUGGUCGAGGAAACCUGCGUCCAGAGCGCACAGACGUCCCUGCCUUCGCUGUGGGUGCCGUGGCCUCGUGCCAUUGACCCGGCUCCCAGGUCCCGUCUGCAGGUGUGCCUGCUCAGCACAUUUACACCAGCGGACCACGCAGCGUGGGCCUUGCGUCCAGCUUCCAGUCCACUGCAGCCAGUCUGGGCAGGUGACCACCAUUGCACGGACACUGGGUGCUUCCUCUGAAGUCACUGGCCACUGAGAGGAGGCCCUCAUCACCUGGACCACGAAUCCACAGGGAGCGUGAGUUUGACGUCCUCCCUGUAUCAGGCCUUUCCCUGUGUGAGGUGGAACCCUUCCACCCAUGCGUCUGCCCCUGCCCCUCCACGCUGCCCUGAGGUACAGUCCUGCCUUCACACUACUCGCUUCCAAAGCCCCCAUGGCCGGGAGUGGCUCGGGGGUCGAACACGUGCCCAGCAGGCCAGGCUCCUGGUCUCCGUCCCCAGCACAGGGCAGGCACCCGUGGCUUGGUUCCCGGAGCUUUGGCUUGGGGGUUCUGGGACUCACUGUGAGCUCAGCACAGCAGACGUUGCGGUUGUCACCCUCAGGACCCCUCAGUCCCCUUGGGACUCCCAAGCCCUCCACUGAGCGUCUCAGGGCUCCCAACUCUAUUUCACCAGACAGGCCAUGCUGAACUCCAGGUGGCCUUGUGGCAGGUCCACCCUGUCCUCCCCUCGCCCCGCCUCUCCUCGUCGGGAACCUCCCUGCCCUAUCCCUGGCUGCUCCGUCCCAGUUCACCCCAGGGUGCUGCAAACGUUCUCCUGUGCAUGGAUCAUAUUCUUGUCAAGAAGAGAAAGAACGGAAGGUGAGCACCGGGGGCCCAGCCCUUGCCCCACCCAGUUCGUUGUGGUCACUGUAAACAAUGAGGGCACAGUCCAGGCCUGUCGAGCCUUGUGACAGGCAUUCCUGCUGCCCAGGAGAGAGGGGCCAGGAAAAGCAAGGCACCUGCAGUGCCCCAGGGCACAGGCCAGCGGGGCAGAGAGCCAGCUUGUAGGUUGCUCGGGACAGGAAGGGCCCAGGACAGGACCCCAGCUGACUGCUGGUGGCUGGCGCCUCACAGGCCCCCGCUGGGAACGCCUGUAGGAACAUCUUCCACAGCCACCUGGGAGAGGGCACCUGCAGCCCCACUGCAGGGAUGGCAUCUGGUAGCCUAGUCAGUUGGAGCCAUGGACACAGAACAUUUCUGCCCAGCAGUUUUCCAUUCUCUUGGCAGGAGCCUGUUCCACUGCGGGUGGGUCAGCUGCGGAGGCUGCCCCCUCAGGGUCUGUUAGAGGAGUCUUUUCUUGACUCUGGUUGGUUCUGCGUGCAUCGAACUCGUGGGCCUCACAUCGUCACCAAAUGAGACUCGGCCCACCCUCUCUGGUCCAGGAUUGUGCAGCACCCUGAGCAUGCUGGAGUCUGGCCCAAACAGUCUGCUGACAUGAAAACCUGACGGGAAGCAGGAUCCAGCCCUGGCGCUUCCCUCCCGGCUCUGGCUGUGGGUCCUCGGGCCUUGCUUCUGCUGCAUGCCACUCAGCAGCUGCGCCACACACUGGGGACUUGUCUCUCUGUGAGCCCGCUUGGUCAGCCAGGCAACAGGGACCAAGGACUCCCACAGGUGCCCCCUCUGAAGCCUGUGUUAAAACUGGCCCAGUGGCCUCCAUGUAGAAGCAGUGGGCAGCGUGUGCCCCGGAGGAGGCCGGGCCUUCCUUUCUGAAAGCCCCCGGGUGCUCUCAUGGUCAGCCAGAGCCCAAGGCUGAGAACAGGGACCCUGAAGGCAAAACUGGCACACUUCCUGUCCGGCUUUGUUUGAGCGGCUAAGAAAUGGUGUGCCAAGGCCAGGAGCUUGGGUUCCAGGGUUGGCAGGCUGGCCUGUGGGGUCGGGGUCAUGGGGGCAUCCUGUGCAUCCCAUGCGCCAUGCAGACCUUAUAGCCGUUCAGACAGGACAAGGACUGAAACUCCCCGCCUCAGGGUCACGGCCCUCCCCGGCCCACUGCCCCUCUGUGUACUGUAGCCUGGGUCCACGUCUCCCGAGGGUGGCCUCAGGGGCCUGGGGUGAGCAUGGGGCGGACUGCUGGCGGCUCCAGAGCCUCGAGCCAGCCCUCAUCUAGGUCCUUGACUCCUCGAGGCCUCAGUUCUCCUGGCUGGAAAAUGAAGGAGCUGGACUCUAAAGUCUCUGUCUCUGCUAACACCUUCUGAAGUUUUCCACUUGUGUCCUGAGAACCCGGGGUACCCGGCAGCUCAGAGAGCCCAGGGGCUGAUCCUGGCAGGGGUGUCACUCCCUUUCUGCUGGUGUUGGACCCUGUGAAGUCCUCGAGUCCCUGUCACUAGCCUCUGGGCAAUGCUUUGUGGGAUCUGGUCAAGCCUGAGCCUCGUUAGGGCCCUCAUUGGAGUCCCUGGGGCAGUGCCUCUCUGAGCCAGCAGAGGGCGGCAGUGCCCCAGCUGAGCCCAGCCAGGCCUAGGGAGAGGCCAAGGUGUCCCACUGCGUGCACUGAAACUUCCGGAGACUGGGACUCCCCUGAGCCAGAGGAGCCAGGAGGUCUCGGAUUGGCUGUGUCCCCCACCGCCCUGGCUGGGCACCCUAAGGUCCCAGAAAGCUAGCCUGGAGGGGAGCUGGGCCUCGGCAUCCUCCUGCAGGCCCCCGGUAGGUGGGGGUGGCGCCGGGUGCAAGGCUGGGGAGGCCCUAGUGUGGCAGGUGCUCAAGUGCCUGGGGGAGCCAUAGGCAUGAGUCCCUUUCCCUGCUUCCCACUGGCUGGCCACUCGGGGUUGCUCUGGGGCCCUGCUCCCAGGCUGGCGGCCUGGUGGACAGAUCCCCUCUGGACACUAGUGUGGCUGGGGUCUGGGGUCGUGUCUUCCCAGCUGGGACUCCUGCCCUGGCAUCUCUGGGUGGGAUGGGGACUAGUUUCAAAGGCAGAUUCUGUCCCCACCCAGGCCCAUGGGGGUGGGCUCCCAGGGGUGGCCGGGAGCUGCAGACUUAGCUGCAUCCAUGCAAGUCUGAAGGCCCGAGUCUGCGACCCCCAUGGGCUCAGCUCAGAGCCCUCCGCAUCCCACUCCCCCGAGCCCAACCCACACCCUGGUUCAUCUGGCUCAGCCCUGGAGCUUUGAGCCAGGGUGCCUCACACACCUGCCCUCAAGUGCUCUGCCCACCGAGGCGGGGACCCCCACAGGGCAAGGUCCUUCCGUGAGUUUCAGGUCUUGUUCCCAUCUGGUUCUGUCCCUCACCUGAGGGCUCCUGUUUGCCGACAGUGACAGCCCCAUUGGCUGGCGGGGUCUGGUCUGCAGGUGAGAUGCACGCGGCCAAGUCCCCCAGGAGCAGCCUGAGCUGAGCCGUCCCCCAGGUCCCGCCUGCGCCUUGAGCUCACAGGUUCAGAGCAGAACUGUGGCCUCGGCAGCCGGAGUCUGGCAAGCCCGAGGCUGGGCGGGACUUGAAGGAACCCUAACAGCUGUGGCAGAAGGGACGCCCUGUCUGGAUGUACCCUGAUUCUGAUCCUCGCAACCAGCCCCCGAGCCGGCAGCUCUUCCUCGGCCGCGCAGGCUCCUGGAGCAGAGGCAGGGCCCCGAGACCCAGCUGGCGAGUGGGAG